Ornithorhynchus anatinus (platypus) is the source of this 470-nucleotide long non-coding RNA. RefSeq lists it as uncharacterized. The record is from RefSeq and is a predicted model, not a curated record. The transcript is spliced from 2 exons. NCBI's taxonomy places the organism in Eukaryota, Metazoa, Chordata, Mammalia, Monotremata, Ornithorhynchidae.
GGGGUGGAACUUUGGCUCCGUCAACUCCUCCGUUCUCAGACCAACUGAAAGAAUCCCGCAGAGGUUAACUGCUCUGUGGCACUCACAUCCCCAGAGAGACGCUCCUGAUUGAACACGCACCUGAUCCACCCUGAUUAACCUUCAACAGACUGGUCUUAAAGGGCUCUGGUCCCCAGGGGCUCCGAAUCACGGCAGUCCAACCCGGGGUUAGUGGCAAGGGUAAAAACUAACGUUACAUUUUCAAAGGCUCUAAUGAACUGAAGGGGGCAACUCGAUUUCAAACUAACGGGUGGAAGUUAAAACCCUGAAAAGUCCAGCAAGUCUUGAAGCAGGAGAGAGAAAUAACAGAACUUCCUUUCCCAUUAACUCUGGCCUAACCACCAACGUACCAGCUCCUUCUUCCUAACGAGGAACAAUCUGCUAAAAAUAAAUAAAUGCUGCAUUUGGAAAUGCUGCAUAAAAUAGACAAA